Molecule: ribosomal RNA, 253 nt
Filed under: uncultured bacterium
Lineage: Bacteria
Description: partial 16S ribosomal RNA
Rfam family: Bacterial small subunit ribosomal RNA
Source: RNAcentral
UACGUAGGGUGCGAGCGUUAAUCGGAAUUACUGGGCGUAAAGUGUGCGCAGGCGGCCGAGCAAGUCGAGUGUGAAAGCCCCGAGCUUAACUUGGGAACUGCGCUCGAAACUACUUGGCUAGAGUGUGGCAGAGGGAGGUGGAAUUCCACGUGUAGCGGUGAAAUGCGUAGAGAUCGGGAGGAACACCAGAGGCGAAGGCGGCGACCUGGACAAGUACUGACACUCAACUACGAAAGCGUGGGGAGCAAACAGG